UUAUAGGCGGAUGGUGGAUGCCUUGGGACUGGAAGGCGAUGAAGGACGUGGCGUGCCUGCGUUAAGCUCGGGGGAGGUGGUAAGCAACCUUUGAUCCCGAGAUAUCCGAAUGGGGAAACCCCUCCUGGUGUUGAGCCGGGAGAUCCCUCGCGUUAGCGAGGGAAGCGAACCUGCGGAAGGGAAACAUCUCAGUACGCAGAGGAAAAGAAAACAAGCCCCGCAUUUGCGGGGUAACAUUCCCCUAGUAGCGGCGAGCGAAAAGGGAAGAGCCCAAACCCCCCCAAAAAUUUCUGGCAAGCGAAGUGAAAGCUUCGAUCCAGGAAUUUUGGGGAGGGGUUGUAAGGCGGAGCGUCCCCGUAUUCAUACGGGGCAAAGCGCAACAAUAUAUAAUGGUUAGCCAAAGCACCCUGGAAAGGGGAGCCAUAGAGGGUAAUAGCCCCGUCGGCGAAAAUCAUUAUAAGCUUUGAACUCCUGACCUUGAGUACCACGGGAAACGACAGUCCUGUGGGAAGCAAGCUGGACUAUACAGCUAAGGCUAAAUACUAACCAGUCACCGAUAGUGCACAAGUACUGUGAAGGAAAGGUUAAAAGUAGGGGGGUGACCCCGGUGAAAUAGAACCUGAAACCAUCACGCUUACAAAGACUCGGAGCCCCGCAGCAAUGCGGGGUGACGGGGUGCUUUUUGUAGAACGAGCCAACGAGUUUUAUUAACUAGUUUGUCUAAGCGUCUCUGACGCGGAGGCACAGGGAAACCAAGUCUGAAUAGGGCGCAUCCCGCAAGGGGUACUAGUUGGUAAAGACCCGAAGCCAAGGCGAGCUUGCCAUGACCAGGUUGAACCCCACCGAAAGGUGGGGGGAGGACCGAACCGGUGAACCGUGCAAAAUUCUCGGAUGAGUUGUGGUAAGAAGUGAAAAGCUAAUCGAGCUUGGUAAUAGCUGGUUCUCUCCGAAAUAACUUUAGGGUUAGCGUCUUGCAUCACUUUCCGGAGGUAGAGCACUGAAAGAAAUUCCGUGGGGAAACUCAGGUAUUUCUAUCAAACUCCGAAUGCCGGAAAAUCGGCAAGGCAGUAAGAACGCGGGCGCUAAGGUCCGCGCUCAAGAGGGGAUAAGCCCAGACCUUCAUCUAAGGUCCCCAAAUCAGGCUAAGUGCAAGCUAAGGAAGUGAGAUUCCUCUGAUAGCUAGGAGGUUAGCUCAGAAGCAGCUAUCCUUUAAAAAGUGCGUAAUAGCUUACUAGCUAAGGAGUUUUGCACCGCAAAUUCACGGGGCUCAAGCCUGAUACCGAAGAUAAGGACUCCGCCGCAAGGCGGUUUGGUAGGAGAGCGUUUCCAAUGCAGCGAAGUCGAACCGUAAGGUUUGGUGGAGCGUUGGGAAGUGAGAAUGUUGGCAUGAGUAACCACAAUCAAGGUGAGAUCCCUUGACACCGAAAAUCCAAGGGUUCCUUGACAAUGUUGAUCAGUCAAGGGUUAGGCGAUCCUAAGGCGUAGCCGAAAGGUGCAGCUGAUGGACAUCUGGUUAAUAUUCCAGACCUCCCGCAUAGGACUUCAAAGAUCGACGGAGCUUAGUAGUUUGGGCGAGUGAUUGGAUUCUCGUUUUCGGCAUGACCAACCCGCAAGGGUGAAGAAAUGCCGGCGAAAUGUUCUGGUUCGCCAGAAUAAAUCCAAAUGAGCAAGCUUCCCAGAAAAUUUCUUUGAGGGUUAAUUUUAUACGGGAAUCGUACCGUAAACCGACACAGGUGGAUUGGCGUAAAUUUGCCAAGGUGAACGGAUGAAAGUUCGUGAAGGAACUAGGCAAAAAAGUAGGCGUAACUUCGGAAUAUGCCUUUCCCCCGUAGCAGUACGGGGGACGCAGCGAAGGAUUCUCAGGCGACUGUUUAUCAAAAACACAGGUCCCUGCUAAACUCGUAAGAGGAAAUAUAGGGGCUGAGACCUGACCAGUGCCCGUGUGUUAAAAUCGGCGGUUGCUUUUCGUCGCAAGACGGGGAGUUGCUAACCGAUCUAAGCCACGGGUGAACGUCCGCGGUAACUCUGACCGUGUUAAAGUAGCGUAGUCCCUUGUCACGUAAGUUGUGACCCGCAUGAAAGGUAUAACGAUCUGAGAACUGUCUCCACGAAUUAUCCGGUGAAAAUGUAAUGUCGGUGAAGAUACCGACUACCUGCGGCUAGACGGAAAGACCCCGGGAGCUUUACUGUAGGGUGAUAUUGAGUUUUGAGUGUUGAUGCGUAGCAUAGUGGUGAGGCUUUGAGUCCUUUCUUUCGGGAAUGGAGGAGCCGUCAGUGAAAUAGCCAUCUUUAAUAUUCAUUAUUCUAAUCUGAAAGGUGACAGUGUCACUCGGGCAGUUUAAGUGGGGCGCUUGCCUCCUAAAAUGUAACGGAGGCGUUUAAAAGUCGGCUAAGCACGGAUGGAAAUCGUGCAUGUCGGGCAAAGCCAUAAGCCGGCCUAACUGCAAGGCGUGUAUGCCGCGCAGAUGCGAAAGCAGAACUUAGUGAACCGAUGCUGGUUAUUAGAAUCGGCAGAGAUCAUCAAACAAAAGUUACCCCGGGGAUAACAGGCUGGUAGGGCCCACGAGUCCAUAUCAACGGCCCUGUUCGGCACCUCGAUGUCGGCUCAUCAUAGCGCGGGGGUGGAGAAGCUCCCAAGCGUCCGGCUGUUCGCCGGUUAAAAUGGUACGUGAGCUGGGUUCAGACCGUCGCGAGACAGGUCGGUCCCUAUCUACCGCAGGCGUUAGAGUCUUGAGAGGAGUCGACCCUAGUACGAGAGGACCGGGUUGAACUGACCUCUGGUGUACCAGUUGUUCCGCCAGGAGCAUUGCUGGGUAGCUAAGUCGGGAUCGGAUAAGAGCUGAAAGCAUCUAAGCUCGAAGCCAACCUCAAGAUUAUGACUCUUCAUUAACUUCCUUCAAGAUUAGGAGGUCGAUAGGCUGCAGGUGUAAGUUCCGCGAGGAAUUAAGCCGAGCAGUACUAAUAGAGUGAAACGCCCUGGCU
Molecule: ribosomal RNA, 2982 nt
Filed under: activated sludge metagenome
Description: bacterial LSU rRNA
Rfam family: Bacterial large subunit ribosomal RNA
Source: RNAcentral